Molecule: long non-coding RNA, 207 nt
Filed under: Oryza brachyantha (malo sina)
Lineage: Eukaryota; Viridiplantae; Streptophyta; Magnoliopsida; Poales; Poaceae
Description: long non-coding RNA (OBRA_LNC002010)
Source: RNAcentral
ACCAUCCAUUUUCUCAUCUUGGCUCUUCUUCAAGUUGUCCAUCUCUUCCUGAUGCUUCCUUUUCAAUUCAGUAAUUUCUUGUUGCUGAGAUUCAAGCUGUUCAGCAAGUUGAUGCUGCUUACUUGUAUUAUUCUCUUUCUCUACUCUUAGCUGAUCACGCAGCUCUUACACCUCCAUAGAUGAAGUAGUAUUGCCAGAUUUUUUAUU